RNAcentral lists this ribosomal RNA (442 nucleotides) under uncultured bacterium. RNAcentral describes it as "bacterial SSU rRNA". It matches the Rfam family "Bacterial small subunit ribosomal RNA", at positions 29 to 472 of the family's 1533-position model. The record is from RNAcentral.
AUUGAACGCUGGCGGCAGGCCUAACACAUGCAAGUCGAGCGGCAGCGCGGGGCAACCUGGCGGCGAGCGGCGAACGGGUGAGUAACGCGUAGGAAUCUACCCAGUAGCGGGGGAUAGCCCGGGGAAACUCGGAUUAAUACCGCAUACGCCCUAAGGGGAAAGCAGGGGAUCGUAAGACCUUGCACUAUUGGAAGAGCCUGCGUUGGAUUAGCUAGUUGGUAGGGUAAAGGCCUACCAAGGCGACGAUCCAUAGCUGGUCUGAGAGGAUGAUCAGCCACACCGGAACUGAGACACGGUCCGGACUCCUACGGGAGGCAGCAGUGGGGAAUAUUGGACAAUGGGGGGCAACCCUGAUCCAGCCAUGCCGCGUGUGUGAAGAAGGCCUCGGUGUAAGACACUUUAAGUGGGGAGGGAAGGCGUCGUACGUGAAUAUCGUGCGGGA